GACUCCAUUUUGCAGCAGACCAUCAUUGAGGCACACCAAUGGGGGUUGGAUUGGUGGCGUGGUGGUGGGAGUAUUUGUAGUAGGAGUGUGUGUAAUAGAUGUGGUUUCUAAUGGAGGGGAUGUGCCAAGAGUGGAGUUGGUGGUGGGAGGAGUUGUAGAAGUGGUGGAGUUUGUAGUAGGAGUGUGUGUAAUAGAUGUGGUUUCUAAUGGAGGGGAUGUGCCAAGAGUGGAGUUGGUGGUGGGAGGAGUUGUAGAUGUGGAAGUGGUGGAGUUUGUA
Molecule: long non-coding RNA, 277 nt
Organism: Alosa sapidissima (American shad)
Lineage: Eukaryota; Metazoa; Chordata; Actinopteri; Clupeiformes; Clupeidae
Exons: 4
Source: RefSeq, a predicted model, not a curated record